GNGUCGGUUCGGCCGGAUUUUACACAAGUGUUGCAUGGCUGUCGUCAGCUCGUGUCGUGAGAUGUUGGGUUAAGUCCCGCAACGAGCGUAACCCUCAUCCUUAGUUGCUAUCAGGUAAUGCUGAGUACUUUAAGGAAACUGCCAGUGAUAAGCUGGAGGAAGGUGGGGAUGAUGUCAAGUCAUCAUGGCCUUUAUGAAGUGGGCUACACACGUGCUACAAUGGUGUCUACAAUGGGCUGCAAGGUGCGCAAGCCUAAGCUAAUCCCUAAAAGACAUCUCAGUUCGGAUUGUACUCUGCAACUCGAGUACAUGAAGUUGGAAUCGCUAGUAAUCGUGGAUCAGCAUGCCACGGUGAAUACGUUCUCGGGUCUUGUACACACUGCCCGUCACGCCAUGG
RNAcentral lists this ribosomal RNA (397 nucleotides) under Wolbachia endosymbiont of Phyllonorycter comparella. RNAcentral describes it as "bacterial SSU rRNA". It matches the Rfam family "Bacterial small subunit ribosomal RNA", at positions 1012 to 1407 of the family's 1533-position model. The record is from RNAcentral. Lineage: Bacteria; Pseudomonadati; Pseudomonadota; Alphaproteobacteria; Rickettsiales; Anaplasmataceae.